GGCCGUUCCCUUGGGAGCAGACAUGAUCGCUGUAGGACCUCUUCCCUUGCUCUUUCCUAGGACUGCAGACGAGAAGCGGCUUCCGAGGUCUCCCGAGAAAGGUCGCUGGCUGACGUUCGGAGGCUCUUGGUCUCCCUGGAGGAAGGACGCGGACCGGUCGUGUGCCUGUCUGCGGGGAGAACUAGCGCUGCCUGUGGAGGCUUAGCUGGGAUAUGCCCUGCCAGCUCCAGUCCGGCCUAUUUAUGCAGCUGCCCCAGCCCCGCCUCCUCCCUCCUCCUCUGCCCGGGAACCUUCGGUGCCUUCUUGAACAGCCGAGAGCUGGCACCCGCCCAUGGGGACAAUCCGCCCCCUCCUCCUGAUCUGACUAAUCAGGACGGAGAACUCGCCUUCUCUGGCAAAUUCUCCGCGGUUCUGGCUGGAGCUAGUAUUCCGGAGCAAGUGGGCGGAGGGGAAAGAGGAGGGACUCGGAGCGAGUCGCUCUGAGGACUAGUAAGGGACCUAGUAGAUGAUGUCAUAGGAAUGAGAUCUGUGUUUAGGAAUUCAGAAAAGUUCGGGGUUGUGCCCUGACGGGGGCAUUUGUCAGGUAGGGAUGUUUCUUUGCAGGGUGCUUCUAAUGAACGUCUUAAUGGUCUUCCCAGAGAAAUCUCCUUUCUUGAAAUUAACUGGGAGUCUUGACCCCUUGCGCCAAGCUAGGCAUCGGCUCCUGAAAUGAAGUGUUUCGGACACUAAGUGAUCUAGGCACCUCUUCAGGAAGGGACAGGGAAAACCAGAGAGGAGGAUAGUGAAGGAAGCGCGCAAAACAGGAAGGUAGAAAAUGAAGGUGUAGGAUUGAUGAGUGAAGUGGGAAGCGGAGCAAAAAAGGAGAGUGGGAAAUGAGGAUGGGAUAUGGAAAAGAGAAGUGAUGAAAAAGGGACAAAAAGGGCUGUGGAAAGUGAGGAUGAAUGAGAAGUAAAGAUGGGGCAUGGAAGAGCGAGCAGAUAGGGAGGGGAAGCAAAAAAGAGUGGGCGUGAGGAACAGGGCUGGAAGAAGGAGUUAAGGGAGCAAAAAGAGAGGGCGGCAGUUGAGGAUGGGGUGCGGAAGACAAGCGGAAGGAGGUGAGGGGGCAAAAAAGAAGAGGCAAGGCAAGAAUGGAGGAAAAAAAUGGGUAGAGUUGGGACGUUAGUGCCGAGAUUUGUCAUUUAGGAAACAAGAGUAGGAUGCCAAUGAAAUGUUUGGAGUAGUGAAGUUGCGUGUUUCUUCCGAAAACUUACAAUAAAAUUUGUUUGUAAUGAAACUGUAAUCAAAUUUUGUAAAAACUUGUUACUCAACAAAAUUGAUGAAAGCUUCAUUCGGCGAGAGCGUAGACACCCAUCCAGUGAAAAGCAUCCUCGCUCAGGUCCGUUUCAUUGUCCGCAUUGGUGGUUCAGUGGUAGAAUUCUCGCCUGCCACGCGGGAGGCCCGGGUUCGAUUCCCGGCCAAUGCAAGACCAAAAUUUAUUUUCAAUAAAAAAUUUUCCCGCUACUAGAAAAAA
Antechinus flavipes (yellow-footed antechinus) is the source of this 1510-nucleotide long non-coding RNA. RefSeq lists it as uncharacterized. The record is from RefSeq and is a predicted model, not a curated record. Lineage: Eukaryota; Metazoa; Chordata; Mammalia; Dasyuromorphia; Dasyuridae. The transcript is spliced from 2 exons.